AAGUCCCAAGAUGACCUACCUUCAGGUACAGCGGGAUCCAGGGGUUCCAACAGUGAGGCCAAGGAGCAGCCUCUCAUUACUGCUUAGCUCAGUGUCCUUCUGGUUAUUGGCUCCAGCCCAAGGGAAGACUCUGGUCACCAGACUCACAUGUUUUCCAGGUUGUUAACUUCCAAUACCCAUUUAGCAAUCCAGGUAAGACUUUGAGCGGCCUCGCUUAGAACAGACAACUACACCUGGAUCAACCACUGUUGCUCGGGGGCCCAGAGCAUUGCGAUUGGCUACUCUGGAGUUACAUGACCUACCCUGUGGUCAGGAAGGGGAUGCUGGUGGAUGUGGAGACUGGUAGCUCUGCUGGGGAUGACAUAGAAUAAAGAAGAGAGUUAUCCAAAGUCAGGAGGGGUGUUGGACUGACAGAAACAAAGGAUAUCUACCCCACAUGGACACCCCUAGAGAACGAAAGUACUUGCUUCUGGUUCUUGCUUAGGUCUCUCUCUGAGUCAGUGCUAGUCCUGGGACAGUUGUUCUAAGGUCAUCAGGUGAAUUCUGUCAGUUCAGAGAUAAAUAUAGCUUCCAAGCCAAGGAACAUGACUUGCAAAAGAAGGAAGAGUUGCUGCUGAGCUGUGUGAAUCUGAACUGUGAGUAGAAGCCCCAGGCUAUAUCUGUCUCUUUGGCUUAGAACAGAUGGGACCCAGGCAACUUUUCACUCAACCAGCUGGGUUGUACGGAUAUCUCAUGCUCUGCUUGCUUUUAGGUCAGUGCCAUGCACACCAGGAUACGUGGAAUGUGUGUGAGUGAAUCGUGCACGUCUGUGUUCAACAAGGAAAGGAAACACCAGGAUUGCAGGAGACACGAAACGAGUAAGAGUUUGCUGACUCCCAACACAGGUCCUCUUCGUGCGAGCAAAGGCUGGCUUUCCUGGAAAACUGGCUUCCUUCAGAACUCUGGUCCACUCUGAUACCAAACGUGGAUGCUUGUGGAAUUUGCCAGUUAUUGGGCUGAGGGGACCCUUCCCCUGGCGAAGCAGAAAAGCAUCAAACAAAAGUUUCCUCUGUGCCUGUGGGCUACCCGCCUACCUCUGCCGUGACACCAGCCACAUCCUCAUGCCUUAACGUUAACAGGUUGUCUGCAGUCCCUUGUGGGGUUCUAAGACUCAAUCCAUAGACUCAUGCAUGUUUUGAGAGCCCCAGAAUCAAAGCUGGAGAGGUGACUUUAGGAGAUUAACAGUCAUGAUUUAUUGUCCAAACCAGAACCUUUUGAGAGUGAAAGGGCGUGCUAUUAGUCAUGAUUCCAGGACUACAGGUGUUGGGUGGCACAUUUGGUCUUCUCAAUAUUUAUUGAGCCCUUGUUAGUAAUUUAACUCAUCCUUUAAUACAGUCUUCCCUUGAAUCCUCAUAAUAACUGUAUUGACUAGACAGUAUUCCCAUUUUACAGAUGAUGAGGGUUGAAGGAGUAGUUCAUGUACAGUGACGACUCUAUAGUUGUGCCCUGGUAAGAGCAGGCAUGAGAAGGAAUUUGGACUGAAGUCUUAUGCCAAAAUGGAUGUACCUUGCACUACAGUAUGUGGUUUCUUACCUAUAAUUCAGUGAUUUUUUCCUUUUUUCUAAAAAAAGACCUAGGUUCUAAGGAGACAUAAGAUGCUAGUUAGCUACCAAGACACUCCUGAAGGCAAGGGGAAGACCAUCAAAAGAGCAACUCCAUCUUCAUGUUUAAGAUAUUGGCCAAGUGGAUGAAACUUCAUUUACUGGGAGGAAGGGGAUUUCUACUAUUUGAAAUUAAAAAAUAGGAAGAAAGAUUGAAGAAGAAAAAGGAGAAGAAGAGAAAGGAAAAGAGGAAGAUGGAAAGAGAGGAAGAGAAGGAAGGAAGAAAGGAAAAUAGGAAGGAAAUGAGAGAGGCAGGGAAAGAUCAUCGUUGCACUUUAAGCCCCUGGGUUUGAAACUGCAAAGUGGAGUCCCAGA
RNAcentral lists this long non-coding RNA (1955 nucleotides) under Bos indicus x Bos taurus (hybrid cattle). Its description in RNAcentral is "lncRNA (ENSBIXG00005001509.1)". Lineage: Eukaryota; Metazoa; Chordata; Mammalia; Artiodactyla; Bovidae. The record is from RNAcentral.